CAUGGAGGGUGAGAAUCCCGUAUGGUUGAUCAAUUGCGUAUGUGAUACGUUUUCAAAGAGUCAAGUUGUUUGGGAUUGCAGCUUUAAAUGGGAGGUAAAUUUCUCCUAAGGCUAAAUAACGGCGAGAGACCGAUAGCGAACAAGUACCGUGAGGGAAAGAUGAAAAGAACUUUGAAAAGAGAGUUAAAUAGUACGUGAAAUUGUUGAAAGGGAAACGAUUGAAGCCAGUCGUACCGGCGGGUAAUCAGCCUUUUGGGUGUGAUUAUGUGGAGCGUGAGGAGCUAAUCACCUUCAUGCCUGCAUAUUCGUGCACUUUGGGUGUACUUGCUCGUGUGGUAGGUUAACAUCAAUUUUGAUCGUCAUAAAAUGAUUGGGGGAAUGUGGCUUCGAUCUCGUAUUGAAGUGUUAUAGACCCCGGUAGAUGUGAUGAUCGGGAUUAAGGAUCGCAACGGAUACCCUUCGGGGCUACCCGUCUGAUCUCUGAGGGUUGCAUCGGUGCCGAAAGCGUGCUUACGGUUAUCGAUAGUGAUGGUCAAAAGGUUAGAACGGGUUAAAUUCGUUAAGGAUGUUGACGUAAUGG
This 580-nucleotide ribosomal RNA is filed under the name uncultured Glomeromycotina. RNAcentral describes it as "LSU rRNA". It matches the Rfam family "Eukaryotic large subunit ribosomal RNA", at positions 204 to 637 of the family's 3401-position model. The record is from RNAcentral. Lineage: Eukaryota; Fungi; Glomeromycota.